GGGAAACUGCCCGAUAGAGGGGGAUAACUACUGGAAACGGUAGCUAAUACCGCAUAACCUCGCAAGAGCAAAGUGGGGGACCUUCGGGCCUCACGCUAUCGGAUGUGCCCAGAUGGGAUUAGCUAGUAGGUGAGGUAAUGGCUCACCUAGGCGACGAUCCCUAGCUGGUCUGAGAGGAUGACCAGCCACACUGGAACUGAGACACGGUCCAGACUCCUACGGGAGGCAGCAGUGGGGAAUAUUGCACAAUGGGCGCAAGCCUGAUGCAACCAUGCCGCGUGUAUGAAGAAGGCCUUCGGGUUGUAAAGUACUU
This 313-nucleotide ribosomal RNA is filed under the name Yersinia sp. SY1-09-31. Its description in RNAcentral is "bacterial SSU rRNA". It matches the Rfam family "Bacterial small subunit ribosomal RNA", at positions 120 to 435 of the family's 1533-position model. Lineage: Bacteria; Pseudomonadati; Pseudomonadota; Gammaproteobacteria; Enterobacterales; Yersiniaceae. The record is from RNAcentral.